UACGAAGGGGGCUACCGUUGCUCGGAAUUACUGGGCGUAAAGCGCGCGCAGGCGGCUUGGUAAGUUGGGGGUGAAAUCCCUGGGCUCAACCCAGGAAUGGCCUUCAAGACUGCUUGGCUGGAGGACGAGAGAGGUGAGUGGAAUUCCAGGUGUAGCGGUGAAAUGCGUAGAUAUCUGGAGGAACACCGGUGGCGAAGGCGGCAUCCUGGACCAUUACUGACACUGAAAAGCGAAAGCCAGGGGAGCAAACGGG
RNAcentral lists this ribosomal RNA (253 nucleotides) under uncultured bacterium. RNAcentral describes it as "partial 16S ribosomal RNA". It matches the Rfam family "Bacterial small subunit ribosomal RNA", at positions 524 to 776 of the family's 1533-position model. The record is from RNAcentral.